Long non-coding RNA from Orcinus orca (killer whale), 5486 nucleotides. RefSeq lists it as uncharacterized. Lineage: Eukaryota; Metazoa; Chordata; Mammalia; Artiodactyla; Delphinidae. The record is from RefSeq and is a predicted model, not a curated record. The transcript is spliced from 3 exons.
UGCCUACCCAGCUCACUGCCCAGUCACUUAAUAGCAGCCCUCAAGAUGAGAGUGGGCAAGCCAGCCCCUCCCCCGGCUUUCCUUUGGUUCAAGCAAACCACAAAUAUCUCAAGCCACUUCCAUGUAUAAUACAUCAAUACACCGACUCCUCCGAUCCCUGGAACAACCGUCCAAGGUCAUCCAGGCAGCACGAUGACCCUCAUCAAAGAUGGGGAGGACUCCCUUGGAAACUGAGUGGCGGGUUUGGUCUGAAGCUGAACCUCGGGGCCUCUUUGCAGAAGACGAGCUUGGGUGGGGAGCCUACAGACAUUUCAGGUUUAGUCAUGUUGUCAAAAGGAUGAACAUCUCAGCCCCAGUUAUGCGAACUCCCAAAAGGCAGUCAGUCUCUCCUGCACUAAGGUUUGUGCCGAAUCCAAGGGUCACCUGCGCUUAUUAAUUAUGCCCUCCCAUUAUUUAAAAAAAAUGCUUUAAAGUUUAAAAUAUCAACUUAAGUUUCACCCUACACAGCAAUGAAACUAUGGGUCUGUGUGCUGUUUGUGUUUUUUUCCCAACUACCAACUGAGAAAAAGACAUAAUUAUUCUUUUUCGUUUCAUGUUCAGCUGUGAACUUUUUAAAACGAUCUUGGUUACCACCAGUGAUAACACGCUUUGGGAAACGUUCAUUAGAAUAAGAUGAAUGAGACUUUGGGUCAUAUUUAUUCUCUGCAACAUUUUUAAACUAAUUUCAUUUUAAGGAAAGCGAGCCCUCCAGAGAAGUUUGUGAUCAGAAGCGCCAGAAAGAGAAACCUUCAAAGCGACUUCUCUAUCAGGCAAACUUACUUGCUCUUAGGCUACAAGCAAUUUUCACUGAGGGACUUAACUUGUCCAUCUCUGCAUCCUGCAGGGUGAUAGAUGUUUCAUAUCCACAUUUCUCAGAACAAUCUUGACGCCAAAUAUCACACCGGCGACCGCUCCCUCAGCUCUAGACCCAGGAGUGCUAGGAAGCUUCUAGAAGCUGAUGUCAUCCAACCUGUCUGAGGAGGGCAGGAAGCUGGGCAAUCUCUUCACCCUCUGUUCCCUUUUGGAUCAACAGAAACCCAGCCUCCCCAGGAAAGUGAGAGCCCUGGAAAUUCAACUAUUCAGGUCAACAACUCCUUGUUAAACCCUUGAGAGACCACGUGAACAAACCACGUGUCUUCGGAUGGGAAGACGGUCCUCCUCCAGCCUCCGUCUUCCUACUCACCCCCGCCCCCAGGAUGGACGACAUCGUCAGAGCCCAACAGCUGUGGCCGGGAGCGACCCAAUGCCAGUGGGAAGUGACCCACUGCCUGAGCAUGGCUCCCGGCCCACCUUUCCCCGAUCAGCAUACCAGACGGACGACACAUGCCAUAAGGGUCCCUGACCCUGGGGACCUGGCCUGGAAACCCACUGACCACUCCCAGCCAUCAAGCUCCUCAGCAGUGAGUCCCCAGACCCAGAUCUCGUCCAGGUACUGCCGCCAACUUGCUGAGUGACCUCGGGUGAGUCACUCCACCUCUCUGAGCAUCCUUAGCUGACAAACUGGGACUUUCUAAGGCCCUUUUGUCCCUGAAAAUCUUAGUCCAUGGCUGCCCUGAAUGCAGAGUGCUCUCACCCCUCCCACCCUCUGCCCAAGGCUUGGCUGCCUGGAAGAGCCCCAGUGGCUGGAGCAGAGCAGAGCUAGUGCUGCCAUGGGUGUUGGGUUACCAGGCCGGCACUCUCCCUGGGUAGCAGCUCUGUCUCGGAUAUUUUUAGACUCCCCCCUCGGCCUGUCCCUAACAAGAGCCAGAUACAUCUGACAAUUCGCCCCAUGGGUCAGUCCUGCCAAAACUGCACUUUUGGGUCACUCCUGCAGGGAGCAGACUCCAUCGCUCCUGGGGUGAGAAAGGGAGCCUCCUCUUCCCACCACCCCUAUUCCUACCCCCAUCCUUCCCUGGACAAGAUGAAGCCAACAUCCAAGCGUCAGGCUCCAGUUCUGUCUAAGGUGCCAGCUGCCCUCGCUCCCUGUUCCAGCUGCUGCUGCCAAUUGCCUAAGCCCAGUAAGACGUCCCCGGAGCCCAUCCUCCUGCACUGGAGUCCUGUCGCCGACCUUUAACUGCCUCUUCUGGAAGGACUCUGCUCCGCAGUCCCAAUGCCUGGGACCGCACCCCACCUUUGGGGGAUGGCUGCCACCACCCCGUAGCUGGGGAGCCCACCCCCAUCCCGCCUUAGGCCCCGAAGCCCAUGUCAGAGGCCUCACUUGUCCACAGAGCUGGGCAGCGGCCGCAUGUUGCAACACACACACACACACACAACUAUGUGCACCUCCCCAGGACAGUGGCUGCACUCCUGCCCUCCAGACAAAUCCCGCCAAGCAGCCAGCAAUCUACCGCCACCCCCAUCUGGCCUGGAAAGGCAUUCAUGUAUUUUUGUCUCGACAGACUUCCCUUCCUGGUCAUGUCUGGCAGAGUUUACUAUGACACAGAGGCGGCCUCAGCUGUGCCCCCUUCAACCAGGAAGGCCGCAGAGGGCAGGAGAGUCAGCACGCGCCUGGGGUGAGAAAUUGGCCUGUUGAGCCUCCUGUGAAUCACCUGUUGCUGGAAAAUGGCGAGUCCGUGCUCACACACGCGUGGUUUCAGCUCCUGCCCUGCAGAUAUCAUGCGCACGGCAGAGAAAGGAAAUCUAGGUGAAACACUCACUUCCAUUCCAGAAACAAAGGGCCUUAGACACUACUUGUGUGUGCAGGGGAGUGGCGGGGAGGGCUGGAUGGUUGUGCCCUGUAUUUACAGUUAGUGGCCACAGACCCCUGUGGCAGCUCCAUCAGCUGUAGCGGCUCCAUCAGAGGCUCCAUCAGCUUCUGUCCCCUUCCUUGUCCCUUCCAGCCUCCUGGGGAAACCUGGCUCGUGUCCCUUCCUCACCCGCCGUCCACUUCCUUACUGAGGCCAAAUUCUGGGGAGAGGUGGCCGGCAACCGUGAGCGGAUUCUGGAAUUUCUAACUGAAUCAAACUGAAGCACAGGUGGCUGCACACUCUCUGUUUAAUUGUGGUAAAAUAUACAUCACAGAAUAUUGAGCACUUUAACCACUUUUAAGUGUAGAAUCCAGUGGCAUCAAAUACACUUACAAUGUCGUGGAACCAUCACCACUCUCUAUACCCAAAAUGUUUUCAUCCCCCCAGCUCUGUACCCACUAGCAAUAACUCCCCAUCCCUCUCUGCCAGCCCCAGGUACCUCUGCUCCACUUUCUGACCCUCUGAAUUUGCCUAUUCUAAGUGCUUCCUGUCAGUGAAAUCAUACAAUAUUGGGGCUACCAGCUGCUUAAGACCCUCUCCAAGCCCAUUACCUUACUCCUCACUCUGCCUGUCACUUUUUAGACUGGGCUCUGCAUUUUAGACACAACUAAGUUAAAAGAUCACCCCACCUCACCCCACAUACACAUCUUUGCAGCUCGGGAGGGGGCACUGCCCCUUUUCCCAAACCUGAAACUGGGCUGUCAUUCUUGUUCCAAAGUAAGAGGUGGGUCCUGUAGUCCGGAGGGAGGGCUUUGCUCUCUGUAGUCUCCCUCAGGCACAGGUGCCCCCAACUAACCCCCAUUUAUGAGGUUCCCAUGUCAGUCCCAAAUUAGGGCCUCCCUGGGGUAUAUUUAGGACCCUGGAUUUGGGGAGGGUGUAUAGUCCUCCUGUAUACGAGCUCUAGGCUCCCCCUUCUCCGGACCCAUGGGUGGGGCCCUCGUAGCCCCCCAAGCCCAACCGGAGUGGAGAGGGGACAGGCGUCAUCCAAGCAGUGCCUCCAGCUCCUCCGCUCGUCCAACCUAAGGCAGAUGCUCCCUGCCGCUGGGGGGCGCAACGGAGCCGCCGCCGGGGCCGAGAGGGGACCCAAUGACCCAGCCAGGGCGCAGCGGGUCCGGCGCGCUCCGUGAGGCGGGGGACCGUGCGCCAAGGCGCCGGGGGACUUCACACGACGAGAGGGGGGCUACCCGGGACUCCGAGAACCCUGGGAGUGGAGUUGGCGGGGGCGAGGGGAGUCGCCCUGACUCCUCCCCAAACUUUUCCCGCCCGCCUCGACGCAAAAGGCGAAGGAAGCAGUCCGGGGGUGGGGAGGUGGAAUUCGGGGUCCCGAGCGAGCUCGGCGCAGGCGGGAAGUCCGCGCCCUCGCAAUCUGGCAGAGGAACAGUGGAUUUUCGGCAGGGAGGGGCCUCGGCCCCUCCCUGUCCGCCACCAAUUGCAGGGACCUCUCUGGGUCCGAAGGAAUGACUUGGGAUGUCCAUGCCUGCGGGCAAAUCUGAUCCCCAACCUCAAGGCAGCCCAGUAGGACUUGGAGUUGUAGCAGAAGAGCUGAUGGAGACGAAUAUGUGGGCUCUGGUCAAAAAGGAUGGAGAUCUAAAAGAAAGUGCGACCUAAAUUCAUAGAGUCAUGAUGGGAAUGGAUCAAAUAUGAAUGUGAUUCAACCAGCGAAAACUGCUUUUGGUUGGUGGGUCAGUUUCACAGAUGAUAAGGGUUUUACUAACUUCCAUUUAAUAACCAUUUCCUUUGCAAACAAACUGGUAGAUAAGAUGGCCCCGUGUGAUCUGCCACCUGGUGUUCACAGUCUUGUGUAUUCUCCUCCCCUUAAGAGUGGGUGGGACGUAAUGACUUUUCAUGACUAGAAUAAAAUGAAAAAAUGAUGGGAUGUCACUUCCAUGGUUAGGUUAUAAAAACUAUGACUUCUGUGUCACCAGCACAUUCUGUGGCCCUCUAGGCUUGCAUGCUUUCAUGAAGUACACUACCAUGUUAGAGAGACCCACAAGGCAAAGGACCAAGGGAAAUUCUGGCCAACAGCUGUCCAGGUACAGAGACCUUCAGUCCAACAGCCCCCAAGGACCAGAAUGCUGCCAACAACCAUGUGAUCUUGGAAGCAGAUCCUUCCCCAGUUGAUCCUUCCCCAGCUGUGGCCAACACCUUGAUGACACUGAAGCAGAGGGCCCAGUUAAGCCAUGCCCAGCUUCCUGACCCACAAAAUCUGUGUUAAAUGUGUGUUGCUUUAAGCUGCUAAAUUUGAGGGGGGUGGGGUUGGGUUCUAUUGUAGACUUUGUAUCAGUCAGGAUAGGCUAGGUUAUGGCAUGAUAACAAAUGAUCCCACGAUCUUUGUGGCUUGCAACACAAGUAUUGAUAUAUCUUGCUCACAAUAUAGGUCCAUUAUGGGUUGAUUUUGACCAUGGGUCCAUAUCAUCUUUACUUCUGGAGGCAGGCUAGUGGAGCAGCCUCUAUAUGGACCAUUGCUGGUCUCAGGGAAUUAGGAAGAUAAGAUGAUGAACCACUCACUGGCUAUAAAAAGCUUCUGCAUGCUCACAUUUCAUUGGCAAAGCAAGUCAUGUAGCCAAGCAGCAAAAAAAUCUCCCACUAGCCAUGUUAUCCUGGCAAGUCACUUCACCUCUCAGGGUCCAACACUAUCUUUGCAUUUUGCUUACAGUGCUAAGUGCUUCUAGGUGUAGGAAUGUAGCAAGCACAUCUAAAGGCCUGCAAGCAACAUUUUCU